Molecule: signal recognition particle RNA, 97 nt
Filed under: Parvibaculum sp.
Lineage: Bacteria; Pseudomonadati; Pseudomonadota; Alphaproteobacteria; Hyphomicrobiales; Parvibaculaceae
Description: signal recognition particle sRNA small type
Rfam family: Bacterial small signal recognition particle RNA
About the family: The signal recognition particle (SRP) is a universally conserved ribonucleoprotein involved in the co-translational targeting of proteins to membranes.
Source: RNAcentral
GGAGGUUGGCGACGGACGGGUUCCUCGCCAAUCCGGUCAGGUCCGGAAGGAAGCAGCCGUAACGAGAUCGGCUCGGGUUGUUCGUCCAGCCUCCCAC